Molecule: ribosomal RNA, 627 nt
Filed under: uncultured bacterium
Lineage: Bacteria
Description: bacterial SSU rRNA
Rfam family: Bacterial small subunit ribosomal RNA
Source: RNAcentral
GCAGUCGAACGAGGUAGCAAUACCUAGUGGCGCACGGGUGAGUAACGCGUGGAUAAUCUGCCCUUCACUGGGGAAUAACUAAUCGAAAGGUUAGCUAAUACCGCAUGAGGCCACAGUUUCUGAGGAAGCAGUGGUUAAAGAUUUAUUGGUGAAGGAUGAGUCUGCGUGGGAUUAGCUAGUUGGUGAGGUAAUGGCUCACCAAGGCUACGAUCUCUAACAGGUCUGAGAGGAUGACCUGUCACACUGGAACUGAGACACGGUCCAGACUCCUACGGGAGGCAGCAGUAGGGAAUAUUGCGCAAUGGACGAAAGUCUGACGCAGCGACGCCGCGUGAGUGAUGAAGGCCUUAGGGUCGUAAAGCUCUGUUGCAGGGGAAGAAAAAAAUGACGGUACCCUGCGAGAAAGGAUCGGCUAACUUCGUGCCAGCAGCCGCGGUAAGACGAGGGAUCCUAGCGUUGUUCGGAAUCAUUGGGCGUAAAGCGCAUGUAGGCUGCCAUUCAAGUCAGUUGUGAAAGCCCCGGGCUCAACCCGGGAAGUGCUUCUGAUACUGUUUGGCUUGAGUACUAGAGAGGAUAGUAGAAUUCCAGGUGUAGUGGUGAAAUACGUAGAUAUCUGGAGGAAUACCG